UUAAUGUCCUGUCACCCUCAGUGUCCCUCAGUGUCCCUCAGUGUCCCCUCGAUGUCCCCUGGUGUCCCCUGGUGUCCCCUGGUGUCCCCUCAGUGUCCCCUCAGUGUCCCCUGGUGUCCCCUCAAUGUCCCCUGGUGUCCCCUGGUGUCCCCUCAAUGUCCCCUCAGUGUCCCCUCAAUGUCCCCUCAAUGUCCCCCGGUGUCCCCUCAGUUCCCCUGUCACCCUCAGUGUCCCCUCAAUGUCCCCUGGUGUCCCCUCAGUGUCCCCUGGUGUCCCCUCAGUGUCCCCUCAGUGUCCCCUCAGUGUCCCCUCAAUGUCCUGUCACCCUCAGUGUCCCCUCAAUGUCCCCUCAAUGUCCCCUCAGUGUCCCCUCAGUGUCCCCUCAGUGUCCCCUGGUGUCCCCUCAAUGUCCCCUCAGUGUCCCCUGGUGUCCCCUCAGGUGAUCACGCCCCGGGGCAGCCGCUCUUUCGGCUGCGCCUCCCUGGCCGAGCGCGACCGCUGGAUCGAGGAACUGCGCCGGACGGCCCGGCCCAACAAGGUGGGACAGCUGGGGACACCUGGGGACACCUGGGGACACCUGGGGACAUCCUGGGGAUACCUGGGGACAGCUGGGGACACCCUGGGGACACCUGGGAACAUCCUGGGGGCACCUCAGGGACAGCUGGGGACAGCUGGGGACACCCUGGGGACACCUGGGGACACCUGGGGAUACCCUGGGGACACCUGGGAACAUCCUGGGGGCACCUCAGGGACAGCUGGGGACAGCUGGGGACAGCUGGGGACACCUCAGGGACAGCUGGGGACAGCUGGGGACAGCUGGGGACACCUGGGGACAUCCUGGGGACACCUCAGGGACAGCUGGGGACAGCUGGGGACACCCUGGGGACAUCUGGGGACACCUCGGGUACAUCCUGGGGACACCAGGGGACAUCUGGGGACACCUGGGGACACCUGGGGAUAGCUGGGGACACCUGGGGACAUCUGGGGACAUCCUGGGGACACCUUGGGGACACCCUCGGGACACCCUGGGGACACCUGGGGACACCUCGGGGACACCUGGGGACACCUGGGACACCCUGGGGUCACCAUGGGGACACCCUGGGGACACCUUGGGGACACCCUGGGGACACCUUGAGGACCUUGAGGACCUUGAGGACACCUUGGGGACACCCUGCCACCGCCAGUUCCCACACAAGGCUCUCCUGUCCUUGGGCUGGGCGGGGAAACUGAGGCACGAACCGCCCGGCACGGAGCGUCCG
Molecule: long non-coding RNA, 1259 nt
Filed under: Chloebia gouldiae (Gouldian finch)
Lineage: Eukaryota; Metazoa; Chordata; Aves; Passeriformes; Passeridae
Description: Erythrura gouldiae (Gouldian finch) lncRNA (ENSEGOG00005017737.1)
Source: RNAcentral